GCAGCCGCCACGGUAACACGUAGGGUGCGAGCGUUAAUCGGAAUUACUGGGCGUAUAGCGUGCGCAGGCGGUUUGUUAAGACAGAUGUGAAAUCCCCGGGCUCAACCUGGGAACUGCAUUUGUGACUGGCAAGCUAGAGUAUGGCAGAGGGGGGUGGAAUUCCGCGUGUAGCAGUGAAAUGCGUAGAUAUGCGGAGGAACACCGAUGGCGAAGGCAGCCCCCUGGGCCAAUACUGACGCUCAUGCACGAAAGCGUGGGGAGCAAACAGGAUUAGAGACCCGCGUAGUCCCUGUCUCUUAUAC
RNAcentral lists this ribosomal RNA (302 nucleotides) under uncultured bacterium. RNAcentral's name for it is "partial 16S ribosomal RNA". It matches the Rfam family "Bacterial small subunit ribosomal RNA", at positions 508 to 807 of the family's 1533-position model. The record is from RNAcentral.